Molecule: long non-coding RNA, 1004 nt
Organism: Ananas comosus (pineapple)
Lineage: Eukaryota; Viridiplantae; Streptophyta; Magnoliopsida; Poales; Bromeliaceae
Exons: 8
Source: RefSeq, a predicted model, not a curated record
UUCCUUUCUCUCCUUAUCAUCUAUUUCCUCUCCUUCUCUCUAAGCUAAGGAAAAAGGGUUGAGUUUGAUGUUGGCAGCUGGAGGACUUGUGGGCUGAGGAGAGAUCUGAUCCAAGCAAGAAAUUUCUGCUGAUUGGAGUUGCUAUAUAACCUGGAAUAGCAUUUAAUCAAGGGAGCCUGGGUGCUUUUGGACUUGGAGCUGAAUGAAAUUGAGCUGAGCACCACUUUGGGGAAUUUCGAAUUCAGAGGGUUUAAAGGAAAAGGCUAAAGAGUAAUUGCUGUUUGAUGAUUCUGGAGUUGGCAGCUUGAUGACUUGAUGUUGUUGGUGCUGCCGAACUGGAGGAAAGGGCCAAUUGAAGCACUGAGCAAGUUGAUUCAUCAUCAAACUAAAAAUUGGAGCUGAAAAUUGCAAUCUUGGUGGAACUUGGUGAAUUCCUGCAGCAGUGACCCUUUGGAAUUUGCUGCGAGAAGUGGAAUAAUAGAAGCUUUAGCUGAGAGCAACUUGAUGGAAACCUAAAUUAAGCAUUAGAGCUUUGAGCUGAUUGGAGCUGACAAGUGAAGUGGAUCCAUUGGUGUAGUCCUGCUGUCCGAAUUGAGAGUAUGGCUGCAGUUAAUGCUUUGAGUGAGUCUCUUGAUGCUUCGGGCUGAAAUAAAGACUGCAGAAAUUGAUAGUAGCUCAGCUCAGCCUUGAGGCCGACGACGCGCUAAUUAUGGUAGAGACCGUUCUAGUUCUAAUUGCACUGAGUCGCGAGAGCUAGUUGUCGACACAUUUCGAGACGUGGAUUCUAGUUGUUAACACCACUACAGGUUCCAAUGCGAGCGUUGUGGCCGAGGAUCGCGGCAAGAGCCCUGCAGCCUAGCUAGCAGACACCAGUGUUUAGUGGUAUACCAUUUUGAGUUCAUGUGAGACAUUUUGAUGUACAGAGUCAUGUAAAUUAAUGUAUUAUAAAGCCUGUAAAUAACUAAAUAUUUCAGUUAUCCAGUUAUGUAAAGUUCAGUUUAAAA